GACGAACGCUGGCGGCGUGCUUAACACAUGCAAGUCGAACGGAAAGGCCCUGCUUUUGUGGGGUGCUCGAGUGGCGAACGGGUGAGUAACACGUGAGUAACCUGCCCUUGACUUUGGGAUAACUUCAGGAAACUGGGGCUAAUACCGGAUAGGAGCUCCUGCUGCAUGGUGGGGGUUGGAAAGUUUCGGCCGUUGGGGAUGGACUCGCGGCUUAUCAGCUUGUUGGUGGGGUAGUGGCUUACCAAGGCUUUGGCGGGUAGGCGGCCUGAGAGGGUGACCGGCCACAUUGGGACUGAGAUACGGCCCAGACUCCUACGGUAGGCAGCAGUGGGGAAUAUUGCCCAAUGGGCGGGAGCCUGAUGCAGCAACGCCGCGUGCGGGAUGACGGCCUUCGGGUUGUAAACCGCUUUCGCCUGUGACGAAGCGUGAGUGACGGUAAUGAGUAAAGAAGCACCGGCUAACUACGUG
Molecule: ribosomal RNA, 468 nt
Filed under: uncultured bacterium
Lineage: Bacteria
Description: partial 16S ribosomal RNA
Rfam family: Bacterial small subunit ribosomal RNA
Source: RNAcentral